AAUGUAUCAGCUCAAUGUGAUUUGGAUCUGAGUCUGCAAGCCAUAUCCGCUUCAUUUGAGGAAAAGGCACGUGAUAAAUGCUAAACAUGAAAGUUCAGAUUCAAAAUUAAAACGCGUUCUGCUUUCUUCUCCGUCCUCCCUCCGCCGUGCCGGAAAUCUCUUCCGGCGGCGACAGAGAUUAUACCACCACCAAAUCUAUAUCAAUGGAACCGACUUUUCACUCUCAUCCUCGAUACAUCCCUGAUUUCCGUCAAUUCCCUAACACCACCCCAAAUCGAAACUAAAACUACGAACCCUAAAUCUCAUAUUAGGAAAUUAAAUGUCAAUUAGGAGUGAUUUGGAGUCCAAACCAUCGGGGUUUGGCUCCCUCAUUAGCAAUCUGCAUAGUGGUUGCUAUGGAUUAAAGAUGAAGAGCGGAAAGACUUACCUACCGGAGCAAUUCCGGCGAUUCUUCAUGUUGGCCGAAGCUAAACAACGAAGCUCCAAAGUCUGUAACUCCUCCAGGUUGUUACAGGACCCAUUGGUGAGGUUGGGCUUGAAACUUGAUUAGUUCAGAUUGUAACAUUCUGCUAGGUGAAGCCGAGCCCCUUUUUGCUGUUAGGUAAGUUAUGCUGAAACAUGGGGACUGUUGUGGUCAGUAUGUUGGAAUGACAAUGGUCUUUGUUUGGCUUUAAGUAUUGAAGUGUGGAUUGUUGUUGUAUGAAUCUAUGGAAUAAUGAAAUGAAGGUUUGAGCUGGCGAGAUGUGUUAUGGAACUGUCACUGUUUUGAAUACUUAGUGUAUGAUGAAAAGCUAACUAUUGAUGUAUUUGCUAUUGAAAAAACAUGGCAUAUGGUUAUGGAAUUAUUUGAUUGAUGAAAUGUUAGAUGCCGAUUAUGGUAUGAAUGAAACUUGGAUAGUAAUUCAAAUAUGAAAAAACUUGUUAACAACUGCUUGAUGUGUAGUUAGGUUAUUGACUUAGAGUUAGUGAAAUCUAAAUGAUAUUUUGGAGGUUAGUUAAAUGUAAAAUUAUAUUACGUGGUAAGUGAAAGUUAUUAGAUUUGGUUCUGCUAUGUGAAAUGGCAAGUUGGAAAUGAAAUUGCAGGUGAACCACUUAAUCGAUGUCGGUGGGAUCUGUUACAUUGGAAUGCAUUUGCCAGCUGAAUCAUAUGUGUAUGGGAUUGCAAGUGGAACUGUUAUAACUUUAUGAAUUCACAGGUUGAGUGAUUUUGUGGUAUAUGGUGCUAAACGUGAGUUGCUUUGUUUCCUGCGGGUGAAACUUGUUUGGUGCUCUGUUGUGCAUUUCCUCAAGGUGCAGCUAUUGGUGGAUGGAUGAAAUGGACAAGUCUUUUGUGGCUAGUUUAAGAACUUCCUAUGCAGGAAGUUGAAGGAAAUUGAAGUAAUUGUAAAUAUUAGGACUUAGGAUUUAGACAUUGAAAAUGUUAGAUGUUUUAAUAUGUAAAUAUAAUUGACUUUAUGGAAGAGAAAUACAAAGAAAGACUCAACUUUUCUAUCAA
Long non-coding RNA from Lathyrus oleraceus (garden pea), 1495 nucleotides. RefSeq lists it as uncharacterized. The transcript is spliced from 3 exons. NCBI's taxonomy places the organism in Eukaryota, Viridiplantae, Streptophyta, Magnoliopsida, Fabales, Fabaceae. The record is from RefSeq and is a predicted model, not a curated record.